GAUUAUGGCUCAGGAUGAACGCUAGCUACAGGCUUAACACAUGCAAGUCGAGGGGCAGCAUUGGAGUAGCAAUACUCAGAUGGCGACCGGCGCACGGGUGAGUAACACGUAUCCAACCUGCCGCUUACUCGGGGAUAGCCUUUCGAAAGAAAGAUUAAUACCCGAUGGUAUAAAGAGUUCGCAUGUUCUCUUUAUUAAAGAAUUUCGGUAAGCGAUGGGGAUGCGUUCCAUUAGAUAGUUGGCGGGGUAACGGCCCACCAAGUCUACGAUGGAUAGGGGUUCUGAGAGGAAGGUCCCCCACAUUGGAACUGAGACACGGUCCAAACUCCUACGGGAGGCAGCAGUGAGGAAUAUUGGUCAAUGGACGAGAGUCUGAACCAGCCAAAAGUAGCGUGAAGGAUGACUGCCCUAUGGGUUGUAAACUUCUUUUAUAAGGGAAUAAAGUGAGGGACGUGUCCCUUUUUGUAUGUACCUUAUGAAUAAGGAUCGGCUAACUCCGUGCCAGCCGCCGC
RNAcentral lists this ribosomal RNA (512 nucleotides) under uncultured bacterium. Its description in RNAcentral is "bacterial SSU rRNA". It matches the Rfam family "Bacterial small subunit ribosomal RNA", at positions 15 to 518 of the family's 1533-position model. The record is from RNAcentral.